This 433-nucleotide ribosomal RNA is filed under the name uncultured bacterium. RNAcentral describes it as "partial 16S ribosomal RNA". It matches the Rfam family "Bacterial small subunit ribosomal RNA", at positions 28 to 507 of the family's 1533-position model. The record is from RNAcentral.
GACGAACGCUGGCGGCAUGCCUAACACAUGCAAGUCGAACGAGACCUUCGGGUCUAGUGGCGCAUGGGUGCGUAACGCGUGGGAACUUGCCCUUAGGUUCGGAACAACUCCCCGAAAGGGGUGCUAAUACCGGAUAAUGUCAUCGGACCAAAGAUUUAUCGCCUUUGGAUGGGCCCGCGUUGGAUUAGCUAGUUGGUAGGGUAAAAGCCUACCAAGGCGACGAUCCAUAGCUGGUCUGAGAGGAUGAUCAGCCACACUGGAACUGAGACACGGCCCAGACUCCUACGGGAGGCAGCAGUGGGGAAUAUUGGACAAUGGGCGAAAGCCUGAUCCAGCAAUGCCGCGUGAGUGAUGAAGGCCUUAGGGUUGUAAAGCUCUUUUACCCGGGAUGAUAAUGACGGUACCGGGAGAAUAAGCACCGGCUAACUCCGUG